This 87-nucleotide ribosomal RNA is filed under the name Natronoflexus pectinivorans. Lineage: Bacteria; Pseudomonadati; Bacteroidota; Bacteroidia; Marinilabiliales; Marinilabiliaceae. The record is from RNAcentral.
CCACCUCUUCCCAUUCCGAACAGAGAAGUUAAGCCCUGCAGCGCCGAUGGUACUGCGUAAAAGUGGGAGAGUAGGUCGCCGCCGACC